This 332-nucleotide unclassified non-coding RNA is filed under the name soil metagenome. RNAcentral describes it as "partial contains 5.8S ribosomal RNA, internal transcribed spacer 2, and large subunit ribosomal RNA". The stretch from base 1 to 120 matches the Rfam family "5.8S ribosomal RNA", at positions 35 to 154 of the family's 154-position model. The record is from RNAcentral.
GAUGAAGAACGCAGCGAAAUGCGAUAAGUAGUGUGAAUUGCAGAAUUCAGUGAAUCAUCGAAUCUUUGAACGCACAUUGCGCCCUUUGGUAUUCCUUAGGGCAUGCCUGUUCGAGCGUCAUUUAAACCUUCAAGCUAAGCUUGGUGUUGGGUGACUGUCCGCUUCACGGCGGACUCGCCUCAAAAUUAUUGGCGGCCGGUACAUUGGCUUCGAGCGCAGCAGAAACGCGAACUCGGGCCCGUCGUAUUGGCUCCCAGAAGCUAUCUUCACAAUUUUGACCUCGGAUCAGGUAGGGAUACCCGCUGACCUUAAGCAUAUCAAUAAGCGGAGGA